RNAcentral lists this ribosomal RNA (317 nucleotides) under Escherichia coli. RNAcentral describes it as "bacterial SSU rRNA". It matches the Rfam family "Bacterial small subunit ribosomal RNA", at positions 679 to 988 of the family's 1533-position model. Lineage: Bacteria; Pseudomonadati; Pseudomonadota; Gammaproteobacteria; Enterobacterales; Enterobacteriaceae. The record is from RNAcentral.
CGGUGAAAUGCGUAGAGAUCUGGAGGAAUACCGGUGGCGAAGGCGGCCCCCUGGACGAAGACUGACGCUCAGGUGCGAAAGCGUGGGGGAGCCAAACCGGAUUAGAUACCCUGGGUAGUCCACGCCGUAAAACGAAUGUCGACUUUGGAAGGUUGUGCCCUUGAGGCGUGGCUUCCGGAGCUAACGCGUUAAGUCGACCGCCUGGGGAGUACGGCCGCAAGGUUAAAACUCAAAUGAAUUGACGGGGGCCCGCACAAGCGGUGGAGCAUGUGGUUUAAUUCGAUGCAACGCGAAGAACCUUACCUGGUCUUGACAUC